GUACUCACGUAAAUCAACAACGAAAGUUGUUGUGAGGCACCGGUACAAGCAUUAGCCAUUGCAUUUCGGCUGAGUUGACCUUUACGAUUAUUCCUAAUGGGAAUAACUCGUUGGUGUAUCUUUUGGUAGCCGGGAAUGGCUUUCGGGCCAUCCAAA
Bactrocera oleae (olive fruit fly) is the source of this 156-nucleotide non-coding RNA. The record is from RefSeq and is a predicted model, not a curated record. Lineage: Eukaryota; Metazoa; Arthropoda; Insecta; Diptera; Tephritidae.